RNAcentral lists this ribosomal RNA (1378 nucleotides) under uncultured bacterium. RNAcentral's name for it is "bacterial SSU rRNA". It matches the Rfam family "Bacterial small subunit ribosomal RNA", at positions 38 to 1400 of the family's 1533-position model. The record is from RNAcentral.
GGCGGCGUGCCUAAUACAUGCAAGUAGAACGCUGAAGAGAGGAGCUUGCUCUUCUUGGAUGAGUUGCGAACGGGUGAGUAACGCGUAGGUAACCUGCCUUGUAGCGGGGGAUAACUAUUGGAAACGAUAGCUAAUACCGCAUAACAAUAGGUGACACAUGUCAUUUAUUUGAAAGGGGCAAUUGCUCCACUACAAGAUGGACCUGCGUUGUAUUAGCUAGUAGGUGAGGUAACGGCUCACCUAGGCGACGAUACAUAGCCGACCUGAGAGGGUGAUCGGCCACACUGGGACUGAGACACGGCCCAGACUCCUACGGGAGGCAGCAGUAGGGAAUCUUCGGCAAUGGGGGCAACCCUGACCGAGCAACGCCGCGUGAGUGAAGAAGGUUUUCGGAUCGUAAAGCUCUGUUGUAAGUCAAGAACGAGUGUGAGAGUGGAAAGUUCACACUGUGACGGUAGCUUACCAGAAAGGGACGGCUAACUACGUGCCAGCAGCCGCGGUAAUACGUAGGUCCCGAGCGUUGUCCGGAUUUAUUGGGCGUAAAGCGAGCGCAGGCGGUUUGAUAAGUCUGAAGUUAAAGGCUGUGGCUCAACCAUAGUUCGCUUUGGAAACUGUCAAACUUGAGUGCAGAAGGGGAGAGUGGAAUUCCAUGUGUAGCGGUGAAAUGCGUAGAUAUAUGGAGGAACACCGGUGGCGAAAGCGGCUCUCUGGUCUGUAACUGACGCUGAGGCUCGAAAGCGUGGGGAGCGAACAGGAUUAGAUACCCUGGUAGUCCACGCCGUAAACGAUGAGUGCUAGGUGUUGGAUCCUUUCCGGGAUUCAGUGCCGCAGCUAACGCAUUAAGCACUCCGCCUGGGGAGUACGACCGCAAGGUUGAAACUCAAAGGAAUUGACGGGGGCCCGCACAAGCGGUGGAGCAUGUGGUUUAAUUCGAAGCAACGCGAAGAACCUUACCAGGUCUUGACAUCCCGAUGCUAUUUCUAGAGAUAGAAAGUUACUUCGGUACAUCGGUGACAGGUGGUGCACGGUUGUCGUCAGCUCGUGUCGUGAGAUGUUGGGUUAAGUCCCGCAACGAGCGCAACCCCUACUGUUAGUUGCCAUCAUUCAGUUGGGCACUCUAGCGAGACUGCCGGUAAUAAACCGGAGGAAGGUGGGGAUGACGUCAAAUCAUCAUGCCCCUUAUGACCUGGGCUACACACGUGCUACAAUGGUUGGUACAACGAGUUGCGAGUCGGUGACGGCAAGCUAAUCUCUUAAAGCCAAUCUCAGUUCGGAUUGUAGGCUGCAACUCGCCUACAUGAAGUCGGAAUCGCUAGUAAUCGCGGAUCAGCACGCCGCGGUGAAUACGUUCCCGGGCCUUGCACACACCGCCCGUCAA